UACGGGGGGGGCAAGCGUUGUUCGGAAUUACUGGGCGUAAAGGGCGCGUAGGCGGCCAACUAAGUCAGACGUGAAAUCCCUCGGCUUAACCGGGGAACUGCGUCUGAUACUGGAUGGCUUGAAUCCGGGAGAGGGAUGCGGAAUUCCAGGUGUAGCGGUGAAAUGCGUAGAUAUCUGGAGGAACACCGGUGGCGAAGGCGGCAUCCUGGACCGGCAUUGACGCUGAGGAGCGAAAGCGAGGGGAGCAAACGGG
RNAcentral lists this ribosomal RNA (253 nucleotides) under uncultured bacterium. Its description in RNAcentral is "partial 16S ribosomal RNA". It matches the Rfam family "Bacterial small subunit ribosomal RNA", at positions 524 to 776 of the family's 1533-position model. The record is from RNAcentral.